AUCUAACCGAUGAGUCCUACAUAGGACGAAACACACUUCCUGGAU
Molecule: non-coding RNA, 45 nt
Filed under: Schistosoma mansoni
Lineage: Eukaryota; Metazoa; Platyhelminthes; Trematoda; Strigeidida; Schistosomatidae
Source: RNAcentral